This 515-nucleotide ribosomal RNA is filed under the name uncultured bacterium. RNAcentral describes it as "partial 16S ribosomal RNA". It matches the Rfam family "Bacterial small subunit ribosomal RNA", at positions 28 to 523 of the family's 1533-position model. The record is from RNAcentral.
GAUGAACGCUGGCGGCGUGCCUAAUACAUGCAAGUCGAGCGAAUGGAUUAAGAGCUUGCUCUUAUGAAGUUAGCGGCGGACGGGUGAGUAACACGUGGGUAACCUGCCCAUAAGACUGGGAUAACUCCGGGAAACCGGGGCUAAUACCGGAUAACAUUUUGAACCGCAUGGUUCGAAAUUGAAAGGCGGCUUCGGCUGUCACUUAUGGAUGGACCCGCGUCGCAUUAGCUAGUUGGUGAGGUAACGGCUCACCAAGGCAACGAUGCGUAGCCGACGUGAGAGGGUGGUCGGCCACACUGGGACUGAGACACGGCCCAGACUCCUACGGGAGGCAGCAGUAGGGAAUCUUCCGCAAUGGACGAAAGUCUGACGGAGCAACGCCGCGUGAGUGACGAAGGCUUUCGGGUCGUAAAACUCUGUUGUUAGGGAAGAACAAGUGCUAGUUGAAUAAGCUGGCACCUUGACGGUACCUAACCAGAAAGCCACGGCUAACUACGUGCCAGCAGCCGCAGUAA